AUACGGAGGGGGCUAGCGUUGUUCGGAAUUACUGGGCGUAAAGCGCGCGUAGGCGGCUUAUCAAGUUAGGCGUGAAAGGCCUGGGCUCAACCCGGGAAUUGCGCUUAAUACUGGUAGACUUGAGUCCGGGAGAGGGUGGCGGAAUUCCCAGUGUAGAGGUGAAAUUCGUAGAUAUUGGGAAGAACACCAGUGGCGAAGGCGGCCACCUGGCCCGGUACUGACGCUGAGGUGCGAAAGCGUGGGGAGCAAACAGGAUUAGAAACCCCAGUAGUCC
This 274-nucleotide ribosomal RNA is filed under the name uncultured bacterium. RNAcentral's name for it is "partial 16S ribosomal RNA". It matches the Rfam family "Bacterial small subunit ribosomal RNA", at positions 523 to 796 of the family's 1533-position model. The record is from RNAcentral.